This 497-nucleotide ribosomal RNA is filed under the name uncultured bacterium. RNAcentral's name for it is "partial 16S ribosomal RNA". It matches the Rfam family "Bacterial small subunit ribosomal RNA", at positions 28 to 507 of the family's 1533-position model. The record is from RNAcentral.
GAUGAACGCUGACGGCGUGCCUAAUACAUGCAAGUCGAGCGAACAGACGAGGAGCUUGCUCCUCUGACGUUAGCGGCGGACGGGUGAGUAACACGUGGAUAACCUACCUAUAAGACUGGGAUAACUUCGGGAAACCGGAGCUAAUACCGGAUAAUAUAUUGAACCGCAUGGUUCAAUAGUGAAAGACGGUUUUGCUGUCACUUAUAGAUGGAUCCGCGCCGCAUUAGCUAGUUGGUAAGGUAACGGCUUACCAAGGCAACGAUGCGUAGCCGACCUGAGAGGGUGAUCGGCCACACUGGAACUGAGCCACGGUCCAGACUCCUACGGGAGGCAGCAGUAGGGAAUCUUCCGCAAUGGGCGAAAGCCUGACGGAGCAACGCCGCGUGAGUGAUGAAGGUCUUCGGAUCGUAAAACUCUGUUAUUAGGGAAGAACAAAUGUGUAAGUAACUAUGCACGUCUUGACGGUACCUAAUCAGAAAGCCACGGCUAACUACGUG